CCUACGGGGGGCUGCAGUAAGGAAUAUUGGUCAAUGGGCGCAAGCCUGAACCAGCCAUGCCGCGUGAAGGAUGACGGCCCUAUGGGUUGUAAACUUCUUUUGUACGGGAAAAAACCUCUGGUCGUGUAUCAGAGCUGAUGGUACCGUAAGAAUAAGCAUCGGCUAACUCCGUGCCAGCAGCCGCGGUAAUACGGAGGAUGCAAGCGUUAUGCGGAUUCAGUGUGUGUAGAGGGUGCGCAGGCGGAGUGGUGAAAGCCUACAGCUUAACUGUAGAACGGCCAUUGAUACUGUCAUUCUUGAGUAUUGUUGAGGUAGGCGGAAUGUGUCAUGUAGCGGUGAAAUGCUUAGAUAUGACACAGAACACCGAUCGCGAAGGCAGCUUACCAAGCAAUAACUGACGCUCAUGCACGAAAGCGUGGGGAUCAAACAGGAUUAGAUACCCCAGUAGUC
This 450-nucleotide ribosomal RNA is filed under the name uncultured bacterium. Its description in RNAcentral is "partial 16S ribosomal RNA". It matches the Rfam family "Bacterial small subunit ribosomal RNA", at positions 338 to 795 of the family's 1533-position model. The record is from RNAcentral.